Triticum aestivum (bread wheat) is the source of this 1100-nucleotide long non-coding RNA. RefSeq lists it as uncharacterized. The record is from RefSeq and is a predicted model, not a curated record. NCBI's taxonomy places the organism in Eukaryota, Viridiplantae, Streptophyta, Magnoliopsida, Poales, Poaceae. The transcript has 4 exons.
AAAGACCCAGCCAAAUUUCCUGCUUCUAUUUCACCCGCGAAGAGCCACGGGCCACCCCGUGUUUCUUCUUUAGAUCAGAUAGAUCAGAUUCAACCACCUCUGUUCUCCCCGACGAAAGCGGCGAUCGGCGCCGCCAAGAUUGGGGGAGGCCGCCCCGCCGGCCGAGUUCGGAUCGACCGAAUCAAUCAGCCCUGCAAAUAGCCUGCUCUCUUCUCCCCCAGAUUACAACGAUCGGCGACGGAAGAUUGGAGGAGGCCGCCCCACCGGCCGGGCUCGGAUUCACUGCAUCAACCCGCCCCGGGAGCACCCGGGUCUCUUUCCCCCCGAUUGCAACAACUGACCACGACUAUCGGUUCAGUUUAAAUACUCAUGCAUAACCUGGGAUUGUAGACGAUAUGCUCACUGACUAUAGAGAUAUUCGAACCAAGGCAAGGCACAAAAGUAAUCCAGAAGGGUGUUCGACAAUAAUGCUGCAACUAAAGAAGGAUUACUUCAAUGGUUAUACUGCUGAGGAAGUGUUAUCCAACAAGCCACCUAAUAGUACUCACGAGAAUUGGAUCAAGCACCUUCCUUUCCAGCAUGGGGUAUGCAUCAAGAUACUGGAGGUCUGGGAGCUCUACUUCAUCAGCACAGAUCCGUGUUGUAGAAGAGAUAGUGGAACAAAAUCAUAGAGAGGCAUCAAGAGGAGUUAGGUGCAAGACUUGAAGCACAAGAUAGAGAAUUUGAAGAAAUGCACAGGGAGCAUCAAGAAGAAGCGAAAGGAGACAUAUAACCUAAUUGGUCUUCUCUUAAGGGCUCAAGCAACCCAACAGUCCCAACCCAAACCUGACGAGUCCCGGUCCAAACCUGGUGGUGCAUGAAGGCCAUACUUUUGUGAUGGAAAGAUAGUUGGAAUCCCAAGACAAUGCAUGUGGUCCUUUAGUUAUCUAUAAAUAUUAGUUGUCUAUUUAAAAGAUGAUUUGGCUAAGAUGAUUCAAUAUAUAAUAUGAUUUUCCUCCAUUUAAAUUUAUAAUGUGAUUUGGCUCUUUACUUAUUUAUAUAACGUGAUGUGAAUUAAAUAUUUACUCUCACUUGCAUUUGCAAUAUAGUGGAUUUGAUAA